AGACCUGAGAGCGUGACCGCU
This 21-nucleotide microRNA is filed under the name Schistosoma japonicum. RNAcentral's name for it is "miRNA-3016". The record is from RNAcentral. Lineage: Eukaryota; Metazoa; Platyhelminthes; Trematoda; Strigeidida; Schistosomatidae.